AUUGAACGCUGGCGGCAGGCCUAACACAUGCAAGUCGAGCGGAUGAAGGGAGCUUGCUCCUGGAUUCAGCGGCGGACGGGUGAGUAAUGCCUAGGAAUCUGCCUGGUAGUGGGGGAUAACGUCCGGAAACGGGCGCUAAUACCGCAUACGUCCUGAGGGAGAAAGUGGGGGAUCUUCGGAACUCACGCUAUCAGAUGAGCCUAGGUCGGAUUAGCUAGUUGGUGGGGUAAAGGCCUACCAAGGCGACGAUCCGUAACUGGUCUGAGAGGAUGAUCAGUCACACUGGAACUGAAACACGGUCCAGACUCCUACGGGAGGCAGCAGUGGGGAAUAUUGGACAAUGGGCGAAAGCCGGAUCCAGCCAUGCCGCGUGUGUGAAGAAGGUCUUCGGAUUGUAAAGCACUUUAAGUUGGGAGGAAGGGCAGUAAGUUAAUACCUUGCUGUUUUGACGUUACCAACAGAAUAAGCACCGGCUAACUUCGUG
This 484-nucleotide ribosomal RNA is filed under the name uncultured bacterium. RNAcentral's name for it is "partial 16S ribosomal RNA". It matches the Rfam family "Bacterial small subunit ribosomal RNA", at positions 30 to 507 of the family's 1533-position model. The record is from RNAcentral.